Molecule: non-coding RNA, 73 nt
Organism: Bos taurus (domestic cattle)
Lineage: Eukaryota; Metazoa; Chordata; Mammalia; Artiodactyla; Bovidae
Source: Rfam
UCCCUGAUGGUCCAGUGGUUAGGACUCUACCCUUCCAUUGCAGGGGUCACAGGUUCAAUCCCUGAUCAGGGAA